GCUUAACACAUGCAAGUCGUACGAGAACUCUUCUGCUUGCAGAAGAUAGUAAAGUGGCGCACGGGUGAGUAACGCGUGGGUAAUCUGCCUCUGAAUCGGGGAUAACUCCGCGAAAGCGGAGCUAAUACCGGAUAAUAUCUUUUUACUUAGGCUAAAAAAAUCAAAGGUGGUCUCUACAUGUAAGCUACUGUUUGAGAUGAGCCCGCGUACCAUUAGCUUGUUGGUGGGGUAAUGGCCUACCAAGGCUGCGAUGGUUAGCUGGUCUGAGAGGAUGAUCAGCCACACUGGAACUGACACACGGUCCAGACUCCUACGGGAGGCAGCAGUGAGGAAUUUUGCGCAAUGGGGGAAACCCUGACGCAGCAACGCCGCGUGAGUGACGAAGGCCCUCGGGUCGUAAAGCUCUGUCAAGUGGGAAGAAAAUGCUUGAUGUUAAUACCAUCUUGCACUGACGGUACCACUGAAGGAAGCACCGGCUAACUCCGUG
Molecule: ribosomal RNA, 487 nt
Filed under: uncultured bacterium
Lineage: Bacteria
Description: bacterial SSU rRNA
Rfam family: Bacterial small subunit ribosomal RNA
Source: RNAcentral